RNAcentral lists this ribosomal RNA (460 nucleotides) under uncultured bacterium. RNAcentral describes it as "partial 16S ribosomal RNA". It matches the Rfam family "Bacterial small subunit ribosomal RNA", at positions 338 to 795 of the family's 1533-position model. The record is from RNAcentral.
CCUACGGGGUGCAGCAGUGAGGAAUAUUGGUCAAUGGGCGCGAGCCUGAACCAGCCAAGUAGCGUGAAGGAUGACUGCCCUACGGGUUGUAAACUUCUUUUAUAAAGGAAUAAAGUGAGGCCCGUGUGCCUUUUUGUAUGUACUUUAUGAAUAAGGAUCGGCUCACUCCGUGCCCGCAGCCGCGGUAAUACGGAGGAUCCGAGAGUUAUCCGGAUUUAUUGGGUUUAAAGGGAGCGUAGAUGGGUUGUUAAGUCAGUUGUGAAAGUUUGCGGCUCAACCGUAAAAUUGCAAUUGAUACUGGCAGCCUUGAGUACAGUUGAGGGAGGCGGAAUUCGUGGGGUAGCGGUGAAAGGCUUAGAUAGCACGAAGAACUCCGAUUGCGAAGGCAGCCUACUAAACUGCCACUGACAUUGAUGCUCGAAAGUGUGGGUAUCAAACAGGAUUAGAUACCCCUGUAGUC